CUUGUGUGACCAUUUCUGGAUGAUGUAAAAUAGCACACUAUCUUUAGUUUGGAAGCAUAUUAAUUUAUCUGGAUUUUUUUUUACUUGAGGGGUAAACUCAUGUUGAGGAUUUCUUUAAAAAUGGGUAAUUCAAUCCAACAACUAGACCUUAUGUGGGGUGAUUCUUUUUUACUUUAAGGUGGGAGGGCAAAGAGUGUUUUUCAAAAACUAAUUUCCUAAUUUUCAAUUUCUAGAGAUCUUUUAAAGCCAUCAGAACUAUUGCUGCCUAAGACAUGCAUGGCAAAUAAAAGUGUCUCACUGGAUUUCAAAUAAGGGGAAUAAUCAAUGUUAAGUGCUGCCUUGUUGGAUUUCUUCCUGAUUUUUUUGAAGCUCCACUUCUUCUGUUUCAGAGCUAUGUUUCCCCAGUGGGCUACCACAUCUCUGGGUUUCCAGUACUUGGAAUUUUGCUUCCCAGUUGCAGAGCUAAGAAGCCAAUUCACAUUCCAUCGUUGUCCUAAAGUCUUUUUCCUAUUUUGAAUAUCCCAUCUUGUCUGGAUUUAUCAAGGGGUAAGAAAUAUGUAUUACUUUGACCUGAAAAAUUCCUUGCUGAGUCCCACUCCAUUAGAAAACAAUAAUAUUUAAAAGAAAUCAGCCAAUCACAAUUCCUAGG
This 649-nucleotide long non-coding RNA is filed under the name Macaca nemestrina (pig-tailed macaque). RNAcentral describes it as "lncRNA (ENSMNEG00000045886.1)". Lineage: Eukaryota; Metazoa; Chordata; Mammalia; Primates; Cercopithecidae. The record is from RNAcentral.